This 128-nucleotide microRNA precursor is filed under the name Podarcis lilfordi (Lilford's wall lizard). The record is from RNAcentral. Lineage: Eukaryota; Metazoa; Chordata; Lepidosauria; Squamata; Lacertidae.
ACCUUAGAGACCAACUAAGUUUGUUCUGGGUAUAAGCUUUCGUGUGCAUGCAGACUUCUUCAGAUACUUCUUCAGAUGCAUGCACACAAAAGCUUAUACCCAGAACAAACUUAGUUGGACUCUAAGGU